RNAcentral lists this ribosomal RNA (499 nucleotides) under Ceriodaphnia smirnovi. RNAcentral's name for it is "partial 16S ribosomal RNA". It matches the Rfam family "Bacterial large subunit ribosomal RNA", at positions 1832 to 2597 of the family's 2925-position model. The record is from RNAcentral. Lineage: Eukaryota; Metazoa; Arthropoda; Branchiopoda; Diplostraca; Daphniidae.
CUCCUUCUGUUAAAUGGAAGGUACCGCCUGCUCAAUGCUUUUAGUAAAUGGCCGCAGUAUCUUGACUGUGCUAAGGUAGCAUAAUCAUUAGUCUCUUAAUUAGAGGCUGGUAUGAAUGGCGAGACGAGAAAAUAGCUGUCUCUAGUAAAAUUUUUGAAUUUCAUUUCUAAGUGAAAAAGCUUAGAUUUAUUUGGAGGACGAUCAGACCCUUUGGAGCUUUAUUAGAAAAAUUUUUUACAUUUAUUUUAGAUAAUGGGAAAGUCUAUCUAAUUUUGUUGGGGCGACAAAGAGUAAAAAAUAUCACUCUUUUUAUUUAACAUAAAUAGAUGAAAAAUUGAUCCUUAAAGAAAGAUUAAAAGACUAAGUUACCCUAGGGAUAACAGCGUAAUCUUUUUAGAGAGUUCAUAUCGAUAAAAAGGUUUGCGACCUCGAUGUUGGAUUAAGAAAUUAGCAAGGUGCAGAAGUUUUGCUGGAAAGUCUGUUCGACUUUUAAAAUCUU